UCUCCGUUGGUGAACCAGCGGAGGGGUCAUUACCGAGUUUACAACUCCCAAACCCCUGUGAACAUACCUGUUUUGUUGCUUCGGCGGUGCCCUCGCUCUCGCGGCGAGGCCCGCCAGAGGACCCAAACAAACUCUUUGACUUUGAUCUAGGAUUAUACUUCUGAGUGAUACAAAAAAUAAAAUCAAAACUUUCAACAACGGAUCUCUUGGUUCUG
RNAcentral lists this unclassified non-coding RNA (215 nucleotides) under plant metagenome. RNAcentral's name for it is "partial contains small subunit ribosomal RNA, internal transcribed spacer 1, and 5.8S ribosomal RNA". The record is from RNAcentral.